Non-coding RNA from Pelobates cultripes (western spadefoot toad), 313 nucleotides. NCBI's taxonomy places the organism in Eukaryota, Metazoa, Chordata, Amphibia, Anura, Pelobatidae. The record is from the annotation of a GenBank genome assembly.
GGAAAAUCAGCUGCUGAUUUCCAAGCAAACCACUAAUGAAGCUUUCGAUGCAAUAAGGUAAAACGACAAUAAAGCUUAUGUGUUUGUAACUCAAUGAUUUAAAAUUUUCAAUAAAGUUGACUGAAACGUGGUUUUAUUAAAGGGACUCUAUAGGCACCCCAGACAACUUUAUCUGAUUUAAGUGGCCUGGGUGCCACGUUCUUCUAGUUUUAACCCUGCAAAUGAAAACAUUAUACCUCUGCAAUGUUUAUGUUAAAGGGUUUAAAUGCCUCUAGUGGCUGUCACUCAGAUGAAAUAGCCAAGCAAAACUCAG